This 177-nucleotide small RNA is filed under the name Stenotrophomonas panacihumi. RNAcentral's name for it is "Proteobacterial sRNA sX4". It matches the Rfam family "Proteobacterial sRNA sX4". Lineage: Bacteria; Pseudomonadati; Pseudomonadota; Gammaproteobacteria; Lysobacterales; Lysobacteraceae. The record is from Rfam by way of RNAcentral.
GCCGGGGACCACCCGGGAAGGUGGCAGAGCGGUUGAAUGUACCUGACUCGAAAUCAGGCAGGCGUUUAUAGCGCCUCGGGGGUUCGAAUCCCCCCCUUCCCGCCAGCAUCCUACAAAGCCCCCGCAAGGGGGCUUUGUUUUGCCUGCAGCCAUGCCGUCCACGUGCGGGGCGCUAGA